GUUCUUUGAUAUAGUUCACUGCUGCUUUAGUUUCUAAUUUAUCAUAUUGUUUCAUGGCAUAGUUGAGAGUGAAUUUAAUCGAUCAGAUAGAAACUUUGUCUGGCUAAUAACUUCAUGCAGCCAGAAACUUGUAAUUAUACCUAAACUGCAUACAGUAGUAUUUUAUCAUCAGAUAGGCAGGUGAUUGAAGACCACGUUUCUUUUUAUCAUUAUUCGUAAACAUAAUUAUAUAUAAGUAUUAUACUUAAUGCAGCAAUAUCUAUGAGAUAAUCGGCAUAUAUCGAGUUUUAUUUAGGGAACAGUGUUGUUAUACUUCAUGAGAUGAAUUUUCCGAUACGUUAAAAUUAUCGUUUUAAUUGAAUUUCAUGUCUGCUACAUCAGGUUUAGGAAUUUAGCGCACAUGUUUUUAACUCCCCGGGCUUCACAAUUUAAUGUUUGUCUCGUUAGUCUUGCUUGGGAGCCAGUUAUGUAAAGUAAAUAGUUAAUAGAAACAGUCAGGUGUAAAAGAUUUGCCGGGAAGCACCUUAUUAUAGAAAAUAAUUGUUGCUCCUGGACGUUGAUCUCCCGCUGUUGAAGUCAUCAUCAGUUCACCUGCCAGUGAUGUAACUAUCGUUUUCCUGUUGUUCGUGAUUCACGUUUUAUUUAAUAUAUUGUUUUAAGUACGCUAAACGAGGAAGUGGUACACGUAACGAUUAAAUAAUAUUUGUUCGAAGUUGAUGUGGCUGAGGCAAUAACAGAUCGAUUAAUUAAUUUUUUUUUUUUACAUAGUGGAAAUGACAGGAAAUACUAAUUAACUGUACGAUAUUAGUUUAAGUACUGUAAUCGAAAACCUUGAAAUUCAUUAUGAAUUUUUCAAGGACACGUUCUGUCGCGUUUAUUGUGUUUAUCCAAUCGCAACUCUACUAAGUUGGGCCGUUUCCAAUUUGGAUUAAAACUUUACUAGGCCAAGCGCUUACACGUCACUGACUAUUGCCUCAUAAACUUGACUGAUUAAGAGCGAACAAGUACGUAUCGAGGGAUGAUAAACUUAUCAAAGUAGUAAAAGAACUGAGGUACAGUAUUGUUUUUCCCAAGUUUAGAUGGGAGCAUUUAAACACUGAGACGAAUUUUAUUUAGGUGAGUCUGUCAUCUUUAUAUUAUUAUAUAGAUCUAUAUAUUUUCUAAAGCUUGAUAGAAGUGGAUGUAGCUUCGUGUAAUUAUCAAAAAAUGCAUUUUAUUUAGCGAAUGCGGAUUCGAUUUUCUGAUCAUUUUUCUUGUAUAAUAAUGAUUUAGAAUAUGGAAUCUGGCAUUUAAAUGGUGAAUGUUCUGGCGUGACACGUUAUCUUUUACGCCCUGGAUGUUACAUUAAGAUGUAAUCUUUUAGCGAUAAGUUUUUCUUAUAAUGCCUAUUUUUCACGCAUAUAAAAAUGAGCGAUCUUGCCGUUUUUCCUUCCUUAUUUGCAAAGGAUGUCCUAGUUAUUUCUAUUGUUUUAGAUAUUAUUUCGUCUAUGAAACAUAAAAAUUGCGAUGAAGAGGAAAACUGCGAUCUUCGUUUGACUUUCCUCAGCGUUAUUUACUCUGUUGUACUGGAAGUAGACUGCAUUCAUGCUAUUUUCUCCAAUCCAUAUUAAAUGACAUUUAUCUAUAAAAUAAAUACGCAUAAGGUCACAUUUAAAAAUAUUUCGAGUAUCUGAAUAGGUAAUUCUUAAGUUGUAAUAAACUUUUAUUUAGGAGAUACUUAGUAUUUAUAUUAUAUAUUUGUAUAAUAUUUAAAGGGC
This 1757-nucleotide long non-coding RNA is filed under the name Androctonus crassicauda. Lineage: Eukaryota; Metazoa; Arthropoda; Arachnida; Scorpiones; Buthidae. The record is from RNAcentral.